RNAcentral lists this ribosomal RNA (427 nucleotides) under uncultured bacterium. Its description in RNAcentral is "bacterial SSU rRNA". It matches the Rfam family "Bacterial small subunit ribosomal RNA", at positions 355 to 796 of the family's 1533-position model. The record is from RNAcentral.
UGGGGAAUUUUGUGCAAUGGGGGAAACCCUGACACAGCGACACCGCGUGAGCGAAGAAGCCCCUUGGGGUGUAAAGCUCUGUCGACAGGGACGAAAAAAAUGACGGUACCUGUAGAGGAAGCAUCGGCUAACUACGUGCCAGCAGCCGCGGUAAGACGUAGGAUGCGAGCGUUGUCCGGAUUUAUUGGGCGUAAAGAGUUCGUAGGCGGUUUGUUAAGUCUGAUGUAAAAGACUGGGGCUCAACCUCGGGACUGCAUUGGAUACUGGCAGACUGGAGUAUGGUAGAGGCAAGUGGAAUUCCCAGUGUAGCGGUGAAAUGCGUAGAUAUUGGGAAGAACACCGGUGGCGCAAGCGACUUGCUGGGCCAUUACUGACGCUGAGGAACGAAAGCUAGGGGAGCGAAUGGGAUUAGAUACCCCCGUAGUCC